UCCGGUUGAUCCUGCCGGCGGCCACCGCUAUUGGAAUACGAUUAAGACAUGCGAGUCGAGAGACAUCUGGUCUCGGCGAACCGCUCAGUAACACGUGGAUAACAUGCCCUAAGGUGGGGGAUAAUCUCGGGAAACUGAGGAUAAUACCCCAUAGGUCUUCUCUGCUGGAAUGCUUGAAGGCCGAAAACUCCGGUGCCUUAGGAUUGGUCUGCGGCCUAUCAGGUUGUAGUGGGUGUAAUGGACCCACUAGCCCGUGACGGGUAUGGGCCUUGAGAGAGGGAGCCCAGAGAUGGACUCUGAGACAUGAGUCCAGGCCCUACGGGGCGCAGCAGUUGCGAAAACUUCGCAAUGGGGGCAACCCCGACGAGGGAAUUCCAAGUGCCAGCACUUUGUGUUGGCUGUUCUCCUGUCUAAAAAACAGGAGGAGUAAGGGGCGGGUAAGACGGGUGCCAGCCGCCGCGGUAAUACCCGCGCCCCUAGUGGUGGUCGAUAUUAUUGAGCCUAAAACGUCCGUAGCCGGUCUUUUAAAUCUUUGGGCAAAUCGGGCAGCUUAACUGUCCGACUUCCGAGGAGACUGGAAGACUUGGGACCGGGAGAGGUCAGAGGUACUUCUGGGGUAGGGGUAAAAUCCUGUAAUCCUGGAAGGACCACCGGUGGCGAAGGCGUCCGACUAGAACGGAUCCGACGGUGAGGGACGAAGCCCUGGGGCGCAAACGGGAUUAGAUACCCCGGUAGUCCAGGGUGUAAACGCUGCGGGCUUGGUGUUGGGGGGUCCUUUGUGGGCGCCCAGUGCCGGGAGAGAAGUUGUUAAGCCUGCUGCUUGGGGGAGUAUGUCCGCAGGGAUGAAACUUUAAGGGAUUGGCGGGGGGG
This 870-nucleotide ribosomal RNA is filed under the name uncultured archaeon. RNAcentral's name for it is "bacterial SSU rRNA". It matches the Rfam family "Archaeal small subunit ribosomal RNA", at positions 1 to 876 of the family's 1478-position model. The record is from RNAcentral.